CCAUACAACUUCUUCUUCUGAGAAGCAGUUGUCCCUUUCAUUCUUAGCAAAGGAACAGUGUUAAGUCACUUUCAUUACCAACAAAUUUGUCUGACUGAUAUUGAAAAACAGAUUCUCAAAUUUCAAAUUUCAAACUCUCUCUCCCUCUCUAAACAACAAAGCCACAACCUUCUUCACUUGAUGAACUUGAUUUUCCUUCCAAAGAAGAAUCUCAUGGAUGUUGCUGGGCCGAUUUUCAUUCUGACGGAGCAGAUUUCAUUCUGAAACCCGAUGCGUGUUCUCCCAAAAGUGUUAUAUAUUUAAGCUCGAGUUGUUGUCUGGAAUUCUGCAACAAAGAAGAUGAAGAGAAAUAUGAAGAAGCAACACUCACCAUGAAGGAAGCGGCAGACUCAAACUUAGAAAAUUCUGCAUCAAUUCCAAGUGAAACCUCAAAAUGAUGGCGGACACAAUUUUUUGUUCAAGAUUCAAGUUAAAUUGUGUGAAGGGUAUCCCCUUUAUCUUAUUUCCAUUGGAAUGACUUGGUGAAACUUGUGAUUUCUUUCUUCUCUGUCCAGACAAGAAAGUGCAGAUAGUAUAUGAUCCAAAAUGUUGAUUGAUGCAGAAACCAAUUCUUAUGUUAGUUUUGAGAUGUCAUUGAUAUAUAACAUUUAAUUGCAUCAGUACUAGCUUUUAUUUCACAUUUCAUUUCUUUUAUGUGAUUUUUCAUGUUUUGCUAAUGAUAAUUUUCAGGGGUAAAAGCUUAAUUGUUUUGCUAAUGAUAAUUUUCCAUGUUUCAAAUCAUAUCAUUUAAGAAUUUUGCUUACUUAUCUUUGUACUACAAAUUGAUUUUUGCAUUAGUAUUGUUGUUAUCGUGGAUUAGUGUUCACUUUGCUAGAGGAAUUCACUAUAUCAUGAAUUACAAUAGGAUUGUUCGCUGCGAUUGAAUUUGAUUUAAAUUUGUUUCAAUUGAUUGUUCUCUAUUUUGUUUAUUGAUUUCAUUCUUUUACCUUGAGUUAUAUUUUCAGAAGUGCAGGUUACACUUCUUAAUAUCUUAUUUUUCUGUCAAACAAGAUGAUUCAUACGUUGACACCUACAUAUCAGUACAAUUGGAGUGGACUUUAUAAGCAUUCACAUCCACCACUUAACCUUUGCAAAUCUCUUGUUUCUAUUGGUUAAGAAGAUUACAUAAUGCAAGUAUAGCUAAAGUGUGGAAUAUUUAUCUGUUUAUAAGAUCUGAAGGGAAGCUGUUAGCAAGCUUAGUUAACGAGGAUUGACACUGGAAAGAUAAUGUAGAAGAUUAAUUUGGUUUUACAUCUAAGGGAGAUUUGUGGGCCGAAAUACAGACAUAGCUGCAAAAUUGGUUCUAAACUUCUAAAGGAUUUAUGCAUGAUAAUACAAUGUUUAUAAAGGAUUUUAUAGUUUCAUUCGAUCUUAAUGGUCUUAACUUUGUUUAGUUCAUGAGUUUAUCUUUGAAUAGAAUUUUAAAAGAUGUCUUGAAUGAAAAUAUAGAUGACAUUAUUAAAAUAUAACAUUAAGUUUUGCUCUGUUAUGAUA
Long non-coding RNA from Trifolium pratense (red clover), 1533 nucleotides. RefSeq lists it as uncharacterized. The transcript has 6 exons. The record is from RefSeq and is a predicted model, not a curated record. NCBI's taxonomy places the organism in Eukaryota, Viridiplantae, Streptophyta, Magnoliopsida, Fabales, Fabaceae.